Molecule: ribosomal RNA, 497 nt
Filed under: uncultured bacterium
Lineage: Bacteria
Description: partial 16S ribosomal RNA
Rfam family: Bacterial small subunit ribosomal RNA
Source: RNAcentral
GAUGAACGCUGGCGGCGUGCCUAAUACAUGCAAGUCGAGCGAACAGACGAGGAGCUUGCUCCUCUGACGUUAGCGGCGGACGGGUGAGUAACACGUGGAUAACCUACCUAUAAGACUGGGAUAACUUCGGGAAACCGGAGAUAAUACCGGAUAAUAUAUUGAACCGCAUGGUUCAAUAGUGAAAGACGGUUUUGCUGUCACUUAUAGAUGGAUCCGAGCUGCAUUAGCUAGUUGGUAAGGUAACGGCUUACCAAGGCAACGAUGCGUAGCCGACGUCAGAGGGGGAUCGGCCACACGGGAACGGAGACACGGACCAGACUCCUACGGGAGGCAGCAGUAGGGAAUCUUCCGCAAUGGGCGAAAGCCUGACGGAGCAACGCCGCGUGAGUGAUGAAGGUCUUCGGAUCGUAAAACUCUGUUAUUAGGGAAGAACAAAUGUGUAAGGAACUAUGCACGUCUUGACGGUACCUAAUCAGAAAGCCACGGCUAACUACGUG